Molecule: ribosomal RNA, 2497 nt
Filed under: Debaryomyces maramus
Lineage: Eukaryota; Fungi; Ascomycota; Pichiomycetes; Serinales; Debaryomycetaceae
Description: bacterial LSU rRNA
Rfam family: Bacterial large subunit ribosomal RNA
Source: RNAcentral
AUUAUUAUUUAUAUACUAUAAAUUUAUUUAUAUCACAAUAUUUAAGGUGAUAUAUUGAAAAAAGGUAUAUGAAAAUAAUAUUAUUUUAAGGAUCUAAAACUAAUACUUUAAAUGAUAAAAAGGGGUAAACCCAUUCAAAUCAUGAAAAUGAAGGAUAUAAAUCAAGUGGAAUGAAACAUCUGAGUAACUUGAAAGUAACCAACAGGGGCAGUAUGUGUAGCGGUGAGUGAAAGUACUGUAGUCUUUAAGUAUCAUCAAGAGGUGAGAAUAUAGUAGAUUCUACUACUAAGACGAUAAAGAAGUAUUAAGUAAAAAGUACCGAAAGGGAAAAGGAGUAAAUAGAAUAAUAGAGAGCAGUCAUAGUAUGGCGUACCUCUUGUAUAAUGGGCCAGUGAGUUAUAUGCAUUAGCGGAGUAAUUUAUAAAUAAAUUGAGUUUAUCAAUCUAGAGUUAAUGUGUAUAGGCCCGAAAGCAGACGAUUUACACAUCUCCAAGUAUAUUUAUUAUUAUAUUUUUAUAAUAAAAGUAUGACUGAAUAGGUGGAUGUAGCAAUAUCCUCUAAAGAGGGGUGUGUAGGAGUGACAGACAAAUCUGGUUUGCCGAUAGCUGGUUUUCUGCGAAAUAUAUAUUAGUAUAGCCUUUACAAGGAGGUUUAUUAUUUAAAUAAUAAACUUCAAGUAUUAACUGGUACAGCACUUAGAUCGUUUUGGGGGAUUAUAAUAUAAUUUUAUCAAAAGAUCUAAACCUCGGAACAGUAAACCAUAAAGUAAGGAGUCAGACUUAUUGCGAUAAGGUAGUAGGUCGAAAAGGAAACAACCUAGACUAUUAAAUGUAUGUCCCAUAAAUAUAUUAAGUGAACAAAAUCUAUUUUUAUUUUAAAUUUUUAAAAUAUGUUUUACUAAGUAAAACACUAUAGAUAGACAAUCAGUCAGCGGGUUUGACAAUAAUCAACUGUUAAGGGACAUGUAACAAUGUACUGAUGUGACAUAGAAAAUAGAGAAAAUAUACGGGUCUAAAUAUAUUACAGAAUAAUAGAUGAGAGGAAAACCUCUUAUGGUAGCAGAAUAUAUGAUUUAUAAUCAUAAAGAUAUUGCUGGCUUGAGUAACGAUAGGUAGUAUAAGACUACCCUCCAAUUCAUAAGGUUUUACUAUAAACUAACGGUCCCUAAGACGAGAACAGAAAUGUUUAGUCGAUGGGAGAUAGAACAUGAAAAGAAUGAUGAACCGUACUGUAGACCGACACAGGUAUGAUAAUAGGAGAAUGAGACAACUACUGUGAAUGAACUCGGCAAAUUAGCAUAAAGCUUUUAGUCGUGCGACUGUUUACCAAAAACAUAGCUUACUGCGUACUAGCAAUAGUAAGUAUAGUAAGUGAUAUCUGCCCGGUGUACGCCUAAUAUAAUAAUUGUAUGAAAGUACAAUCAUUGAAAAGGUGUGUUAACGGCGGUCUUAUUGUGAGGAUCCGAAGGUAGCGAAAUUCAUUGACGCAUAAUUGGUGUCCUGCAUGAAUGAAUACACGAUGCGACAACUGUAUCCAUAGUAGACUCAGUGAAAUAGCACUCGCGGUGAAGAUGCCGUGUACCCGUAGAUUGACAAAAAGACCCUAUGCAGCUUUACUAUAUCUUUAUAUUGAAUUCGACAACUAUUUAUUUCAGUAGAUUAGGUUUUUAGUAAUAAAGUAAAUGAGAUACCUAUAUAUUUAGUAAUAGAUUCUAAUCUAUAUAUAUAAUAUAAUAUAUUAUAUUCUAUUUUAUUUUAAAAUAGAACUAAGAGACAGUGUAAAGAGGUUAGUUUCGAUGGGGCGUCGACAUCAGCGAAAGCAUCUGAUGUGUCUAAAAAUUUUUUAUUUUAUUAAUUUUAUUAUAUAAUAGUAAGAAGACGUACAAAAGUUCUAUAUAGCAAAUAGAAUUGUCCCUUUUUAAGGGAUUGCAUAUGCAAGGAUAACAACAUAAUUGUGCGAUGAUAAUGACACUUACAAGUGGAAUUAGUACUUAAGUAGAGUGUAGUGAACAGGCAUAAACAUAAGAUAUGGAUGUCGAUAACGGAUUAAAGUUACGCUAGGGAUAACAGGGUAAUACCGCGUGAGAGUUGAUAUCGUCAGCGGUGUUUGCCACCUCGAUGUCGUCUAGACUCGUCCUCCUGGUCGCAGCAACUAGGUAGGGUAGGACUGUUCGUCCUCUAAGGAGUUACUUGAGAUGGGUUAAUUACGACGUGAGUCAGUAAUGAUUUUAUCAUCUAUGGGUUUUUCUCUUAUUCGUUGCUUCGAGUGUACGAAAGGAUAACGAAGUGUUUUCCUAUGGUUUUUUGUAUAUUAUUUUUAUAUAUACAUAUUAGCUAAGAAAAUUGUGGAUACAUAUUGAAUGCUUCUCAAAUAUUAAACCCUACGAAUAAGUUUAAUCAUACUAUAUUAGUAUGUAAUAGUUUUAUUAUAUUUAUAUAAUAUAUACUAAUUAAUUAUUUCAUAUACCAUGCAAUAUUCCCCCCCUUAUAUACUUUGU